UUCUUUUUAUCCGUAGAUGGCAAAGAUUCGUUGGUAUGUGACUCAUCUUCAUUAUGUGUCUUUUUGGGAUCGUUUUUGUUAUCCAGUGGUUUGUUAUCUUUUGGUUCUUUACUUUUGAAAACAACAUUUGAAGUACGAAAAGGUCCGACUGAGCAUUUUAAAACCCUCUGUGUAGUGGAAAAACUAGCAAGCAAAGACCGAUGAACCAAAUGUUCACGAGGCCAAUUUCUUUUAGCACCUGAUCGCCUCAAGCAAGCGCCCGAUAAACGUGUAAUCAUGGGCCUGUACGAAUUUAAAUUACAAACUGGCACAAAGAACGUUUCGGGCUAUUAUUAAUUUUCUGGCGUAUUUAAAGGUAG
Molecule: non-coding RNA, 359 nt
Organism: Schizosaccharomyces pombe (fission yeast)
Lineage: Eukaryota; Fungi; Ascomycota; Schizosaccharomycetes; Schizosaccharomycetales; Schizosaccharomycetaceae
Source: the annotation of a GenBank genome assembly